GAAGGUAAAACACCUGUAGACGAAAGGACGAAGAUUGCAGAAGGAAUCCCAAGUACUGCGGGACACGAGAAACCCCGUGGGAAUCAGGGGGGACCACCCCCCAAGGCUAAAUACUCUUAGCGACCGAUAGUGAACAAGUACCGUGAGGGAAAGGUGAAAAGCACCCCGGGAGGGGAGUGAAAAAGAACCUGAAACCGUGUGCCUACAAGCUGUCGAAGGGCGUUAAAAGCCUGACGGCGUACUUUUUGUAGAACGGACCGGCGAGUUACAUCUAACGUGCAGGUUAAGGCAGGAAAGCCGGAGCCGAAGCGAAAGCAAGUCUUAAUAGGGCGCAAUGUACGUUGGAGUAGACCCGAAACCUGGUGAUCUACCCAUGUCCAGAGUGAAGCUUUAGUAAAAUAAAGUGGAGGCUCGAACCGACCUUCGUUGAAAAGGAGGCGGAUGAGGUGUGGGUAGGGGUGAAAUGCCAAUCGAACCAGGAGAUAGCUGGUUCUCCCCGAAAUAGCUUUAGGGCUAGCCUCGGUAUAAGAUUAGCGGAGGUAGAGCACUGAAUGGGCUAGGGGCCUUCACGGGUUACCGAACCCAAUCAAACUCCGAAUGCCGCAUAAUUAUAACCGGGAGUCAGACUGCGGGUGCUAAGAUUCGUAGUCAAAAGGGAAACAGCCCAGACCAACAGCUAAGGUCCCAAAGACAGGCUAAGUGGAAAAGGAUGUGGGGUUGCACAGACAACCAGGAUGUUGGCUUAGAAGCAGCCACCAUUUAAAGAGUGCGUAAUAGCUCACUGGUCAAGUGGCCCUGCGCCGAAAAUGAAACGGGGCUAAGCCUGGCACCGAAGCUUUGGAUUCUCGAGGUUCGAUGUUCGAGAUUCGAUGUUCGAAAGGGGAACUCGUAUGAUAAGAGAUUAUCAUGAUCUUGAAGUGUACAAGAGGGGAUAUAAGCUGGCUCUUGAAAUACACAAAUCAACAAAGAGUUUUCCACAGCAUGAGUUGUAUGAGAUAGGGAGCCAAAUAAGACGUGCGGCCGUAUCGAUACCGCUAAAUAUAGCCGAAGGAUAUGGCAGAAAGAACUAUGUAGAUGAUUUUAAAAGGUUCUUAAUAAACGCACUUGGAUCUUGUAAUGAAGUUGCAGUUUUGCUAGAUAUGAUUAACGACCUAGGAUAUAUACCAGAACGGUAUGGGGAAUUAAAAGAGGAGUACGAUCAUCUAGGAAGGCAACUUAACAAACUAAUACAAACAUGGAAAUAAUCGAAUUUCGAACUUCGAAUAUCGAACUUCGAGAAUGGUAGGGGAGCGUUCCUAUUGCGUUGAAGCAGUACCGUGAGGAGCUGUGGAGUGGUAGGAAGUGAGAAUGCCGGUAUGAGUAAGCGAAAAGGCAGGUGAGAAUCCUGCCCGCCGAAAACCUAAGGUUUUCUGGGGAAGGUUCGUCCGCCCAGAGUAAGUCGGGACCUAAGCCGAGGCCGCAAGGCGUAGGCGAUGGACAAUCGGUUGAGAAUCCGAUACCACCAAAUACCGUUUGAGUGAAGGAGUGACGCAGGAGGGUAAGUCAAGCCAGCGGUUGGAAAAGCUGGUCCAAGCCCGUAGGGU
RNAcentral lists this ribosomal RNA (1583 nucleotides) under Desulforamulus aquiferis. Its description in RNAcentral is "partial 23S ribosomal RNA". It matches the Rfam family "Bacterial large subunit ribosomal RNA", at positions 360 to 1526 of the family's 2925-position model. The record is from RNAcentral. Lineage: Bacteria; Bacillati; Bacillota; Clostridia; Eubacteriales; Peptococcaceae.